GACGAACGCUGGCGGCGUGCCUAAUACAUGCAAGUCGAACGAUGCAGUGAGGAGCUUGCUCUUAUUGGAUGAGAUGCGAACGGGUGCGUCACGCGUAGUCAACAUGCCUUGUAGAGAGGGAUGACUAUUGGAAAUGAUAGCUUAUACCGCAUAACUAUGGAUCACUCAUGUCUCUCACUUGAAAGGAGCUAUUGCUUCGCUUCAAGAUCGACCUGCGCUGUAUUAGCUAGUAGGUGAGGUAGUGGGUCAACCAGGCGACGAUACAUAACCGACCUGAGAGGGUGAUCGGCCACACUGGGACUGAGACACGGCCCAGCACCCUGAGGGAGGCAGCAGGAGGGAAUUUUCGCCGAAGGGGGCAAUGCGGAACGUGGGACGCCGGGCGAGAGAAGGAGGUUGUCGGGUCGUAAAAGUCAGGUAUAAGUCAAGGACGUAAGGGUGAGUUAAAAGUGCACACUAUGACGGUACCUGACCAAAAAGCGACGGCUAACUACGUG
RNAcentral lists this ribosomal RNA (497 nucleotides) under uncultured bacterium. Its description in RNAcentral is "partial 16S ribosomal RNA". It matches the Rfam family "Bacterial small subunit ribosomal RNA", at positions 28 to 507 of the family's 1533-position model. The record is from RNAcentral.